UACGGAGGGUGCGAGCGUUGUCCGGAAUCAUUGGGCGUAAAGCGCGUGUAGGCGGUUCGGUAAGUCUGCUGUGAAAGUCCAGGGCUCAACCCUGGGAUGCCGGUGGAUACUGUCGGACUAGAGUACGGAAGAGGCGAGUGGAAUUCCCGGUGUAGCGGUGAAAUGCGCAGAUAUCGGGAGGAACACCAAUUGCGAAGGCAGCUCGCUGGGACGUUACUGACGCUGAGACGCGAAAGCGUGGGGAGCAAACAGG
This 253-nucleotide ribosomal RNA is filed under the name uncultured bacterium. Its description in RNAcentral is "partial 16S ribosomal RNA". It matches the Rfam family "Bacterial small subunit ribosomal RNA", at positions 524 to 776 of the family's 1533-position model. The record is from RNAcentral.